CUUCAAUGUUGAAAAUGCACGUAAUUCCUGCAUUUAAAACAUGUUGUAAAUGGCACAAAUAUGAAAUUUUAUGCUGUGCCCUGGUACACAGUGUUGAGAAGGAGACUGUGAUGCUGGCCGGUGGAGCUCAUCACAAGUUAUGUGAUUCUUUUAUCAUGUGAUUCAAGAAUUUCUAUUGAAGAAUGUGAGGAAAGAAUGCCAUGAAAAACAGCAGCAUGCUGCAUUUUGGAAAAGCUGCAAAAAAGCUGCCAAAUACAAAAAAGCAUUGGUUACUACGGUGAUUUUUUUUUUUUCCAAAUCAACUGGUGCCAAAAAGUUAAACAGGUUUUCAAAUUAGAUACAAGAAAAUACAGCACCACAAAGAAAUGUCCCGGUACUUAUGCCUAUGGAUAAAAGAGCAUCCCUUGAGAAAGUCCAUCAAACGAACAUUGGGACGGUGGUGAAAGGACCCUAUUAUGGGUUACAACUGUGAACAACAAGCAAUGAAGAAAAUGAAGCAAGAACAUUACAAUAUACUUUGACUUUUGGAGAAAAGAGUACAGCGAUCAGUGUUAUCCAUUUAUUUUAUUUAUUUAUGUUUCCUUGAAAUCCUUGUAGAAUGAGGAUUCCCAACAAAGACAUUGGCCCAGACUUAUCAAUCUGCCUAGACUGUCUGGUUUUGCCCAUAACAACCAAUCACAGCUCAGAUUUCAGCUUUUGUUGGUUGUUAUGGGAAAACCAGACCGUUUUGGUUUUAGGCUGAUAAUUUGGCUUGUCAGUGGUUUGGGCCUUCACCUAACAUGCUAUACAGUUAUAACAAUUAAUGCAUUUUAAUAGGGAAAGACUGUGACAUAAUAAAGAAAUUAUAAGCAUUAAAAAAAUCUUUACCAAG
This is a long non-coding RNA of Hyla sarda, 871 nucleotides long. RefSeq lists it as uncharacterized. NCBI's taxonomy places the organism in Eukaryota, Metazoa, Chordata, Amphibia, Anura, Hylidae. The transcript is spliced from 4 exons. The record is from RefSeq and is a predicted model, not a curated record.